RNAcentral lists this long non-coding RNA (694 nucleotides) under Homo sapiens (human). Its description in RNAcentral is "HSALNT0110934". Lineage: Eukaryota; Metazoa; Chordata; Mammalia; Primates; Hominidae. The record is from RNAcentral.
CUCUGCCUGGCUGCCCAGUCUGGAAAGUGAGGAGCGCCUCUUCCCGGCCGCCAUCCCGUCUAGGAAGUGAGGAGCGCCUCUUCCCGGCCGCCAUCCCAUCUAGGAAGUGAGGAGCGCCUCUUCCCGGCCACCUUCCCAUCUAGGAAGUGAGGAGCGUCUCUGCCCCGCCGCCCAUCGCCUGAGAUGUGGGGAGCGCCUCUGCCCCGCCGCCCCGUCUGGGAUGUGAGAGCGCCCGGCCGGGACCCCGUCUGGGAGAUGCAAGAGGAAAUUUGGAGAUGUUGCUUGAAAGUUUAAAGUAUUGGUGUUACCGAACCAUUAGAAUAUUACAUAUGGACAACGCCCAUCCAUUAGAAUAUUACGUAUGGACAACAUGGUGGAACAUUUCGAAUAAGGUUUGUCCCACAAAAUCCAAUAUAAAUGUUUGCUUUUGUCCUUUUUAAUGAUAUUGCAUUUGAAUUAUACUGAGUACAUUAUGACAUAUGAAGCUCUCAGACUGUAGGAUGGGAACAGCCAGACUUUAUGCAGUGCAGGUGCUGGCAAACUUUUUCUGUAAAGCAUCAGAGAGAACUAUUCUGGUUUUGCAGGUCAUGUGGUUUAUGUCAGAACACUUGACCGUUGUAGCACAAAAACAGCUAUAGACAAGAAGUAAAUGAAUAAGUGUGGCUCUCUUCCAAGAAAACUAUUUAAGGCCAAU